RNAcentral lists this long non-coding RNA (239 nucleotides) under Lathyrus oleraceus (garden pea). RNAcentral describes it as "Pisum sativum (pea) long non-coding RNA (PSAT_LNC018552)". Lineage: Eukaryota; Viridiplantae; Streptophyta; Magnoliopsida; Fabales; Fabaceae. The record is from RNAcentral.
AAAAUGUGAGGUGUGUUAUGCAAGGUGUCAAUCUUGAAAAAGAAGAGAAUCCAAUGAUAUCUCAUUUUAACAUUAUUAUUCUAAAAAACCAUCAUUGUUAUUCAAUUUUAACUAAAAAUAUGAUUAUUACAAAUAAAAACUCUAAUUAUUUAAUUUGAUAUUUUGAAUAAAGAAAUAAAAUGACCUGAUUAAAAAUAGAAAUUAGAUAUAAAUUUACUCGAAAAAUUAAUUUGGACACA